Non-coding RNA from Lasiosphaeria miniovina, 85 nucleotides. NCBI's taxonomy places the organism in Eukaryota, Fungi, Ascomycota, Sordariomycetes, Sordariales, Lasiosphaeriaceae. The record is from the annotation of a RefSeq genome assembly.
GGGCGUGUGGCUCAGUUGGUAGAGCGUUCGCUUAGCAUGCCCGCUUAUAUGCGAAAGGUCCUGGGUUCGAUUCCCAGCCCGUCCA